This is a non-coding RNA of Pelobates cultripes (western spadefoot toad), 340 nucleotides long. Lineage: Eukaryota; Metazoa; Chordata; Amphibia; Anura; Pelobatidae. The record is from the annotation of a GenBank genome assembly.
CGUCCGUGUGGGGUCCUUUUGCCAUCGACAUCUUCAUGUCCAGGCUCAAUACCCAAUUACCCCGGUUCUACAGCUGGCGCCCGGAUCCAACCGUGGAGGCAGUGGACGCCUUCCUACAAGACUGGUCUGGGUCACUCCUCUACGCCUUCCCCCCCUGGUUGCCAUGAUACCUCGGGUCCUGCUCCAAGUUCGCCGCCAAAUGGCCGACCUGAUCCCACUAACCCCAUUCUGGGGGACCCAAUCCUGGUUCCCACAACCCCUGGAAAUGGCAAUAGACGUGCCCAGACUGCUGCCGUCUCUACCGAACCUCCUCCUGGACCCAUCGCGCCUCCUAGCGGAC